CGCUUUCGGUCUAUCGACUUUCUUCCUGCGCUGCUGAUUUCGGUUCUAAGCAUGUAUUGACGAAGAACACUUUAAAGCCCUCCAUCAUGCAUGCGACCGACAACUUCGGGGAGUGAAGAUAAGGCAAGUGGACAGAGAGUUUUACAACCUGGAUCGGCUGCUUGGAUUGUCAUGGACUGACCAUCUUGAUUUGUGAAUCAGAGGAACUUUUGCUCCUGAUACUGAAGUUUUGAUACUGGCUGAUAGAAUAUGCACUUCAGAGGAAGAUUUUUACUGUAGAUGAGUGCUCAACGGGAUGAAAACACUGGAUUUUUGUGAGAAAAGUUAUAGAAAACUGUUGAGGAGAGACUGUUAGAAUGCGUGCUUCAGAGGAAGAUAUAUGAUCGCUCCACAGUUUGCUGGAUCUGCUGAAGUUUUGUGAGACAAGACAGUUAAAAGUUACAGGGAACUGAUGAGAAGAGAGAGGGAGAAUGAAACAGCUGAGAGACAGCAAGGCGAUGUGGUCUCUCACUCUCUGAUGCCAGAAUGAGAACCUACACCCGUGGGGCACCAACAGUGUUCUUCAUAAGUGCACUGUGGGUGCUGGUAUCCCCAGCUCUGGGUGAAGUGGAUCCUAGCGGAGGCAUUGCAUUCCUUGGAGGGAACUACAAUGGAACUCACCCCAUGCUCUACUUUGCCCAGGCAGAGGUUGAGAAGCUACAGCGUGCAGCCAUAGAGACGCACAAAGCUCUGGCCCAACAGAUCCGGGAGGCCGGGGAGGCCAUGCUAGAGCGACCGGAGGAGUAUCUACCCCCCUGGAACUCUGCCGAGUUCAGCGCCCGCUGGAACGAAGUCUAUGGGAACAAUUUAGGCCUGCUGUCUAUGUUCUGUCUGCUGUAUCCACACCGUGCCGGUGCGCUGGACAUGGCCAAGGAAUACAUGGAGCGGAUGGCUGCACAGCCCAACUGGUUGGUGAAAGAUGCUCCCUGGGAUGAAGUUCCAAUGGCUCACUCUCUGGUUGGCUUUGCCACAGCAUAUGACUUCCUGUAUGAGUACCUUAGCAAAGUUCAGCAGGAGCGUUUCCUGCAGGUGAUUGGGAAUGCUUCACGCUACAUGUACGAGAAAUCUUACCACCGUGGCUGGGGAUUUCAGUACCUCCACAACCACCAACCAACUAACUGCGUUGCGCUUUUAACCGGCAGUCUUGUGCUCAUGAACCAAGGAUAUCUCCAGGAAGCAUACCUCUGGACAAAACAGGCUCUUGCAAUAAUGGAAAAGUCCAUGGUGCUUCUCCAAGACGUGACAGAUGGAUCUCUGUAUGAGGGUGUGGCCUAUGGAACUUACACCACUCGUUCACUCUUUCAAUACAUGUAUUUGGUACAGAGGCACUUUGCUAUUGGUCACUUCAACCAUCCCUGGCUGCACAAACACUUUGCAUUUCUCUACAGGACAUUGUUACCUGGUUUUCAAAGGACCGUGGCAAUCGCAGAUUCCAACUAUAACUGGUUCUAUGGGCCAGAGAGUCAGCUAGUGUUUUUGGAUCGGUAUGUCAUGCGAAACGGCAGCGGGAAUUGGCUGGCUGAUAUAAUCAGGCAGAACCGUGUUCUCGAGGGUCCAGGACAGGCAGGGAAGGGUCAGCGAUGGUGCACACUGCACACAGAGUUCCUCUGGUAUGAUGCCAGCCUGCAGCCCACCCCACCUCCUGAUUAUGGUACAUCGCGGCUGCAUUAUUUCGAAGACUGGGGAGUAGUGACCUACGGAAGUGCCCUACCUGCAGGGAGAAACUACACAUUUCUGUCCUUUAAGUCGGGUAAGCUUGGCGGACGUGCAAUUUUUGAUAUUGUACACCAAAACAAAUACAAAGACUGGAUCAAAGGGUGGCGUAACUUUAAUGCCGGCCAUGAGCACCCGGACCAGAACUCUUUCACAUUCGCUCCAAACGGCGUUCCAUUCAUCACAGAGGCAUUGUAUGGACCCAAAUACACCUCCUUCAACAAUGCAGUCAUGUUCGGGCCUGCAGUGUCUGAGAGCUGCUUUGCACCGUGGGAAGGCCAAGUUACGGAGGCGUGUAACUCUAAAUGGCUAAACUAUAAGCACGGGCAAGCAGCAGAUUGCCAAGGUCAGGUGGAGGCCGCUCUUGAUCGUCAGGGCAUGGUGUUUAUUCGUGGCGAGGGCCAAGCAGCUUACAACCCAGAGCUGAAGAUCAAGAAUUUUCAGAGGAACCUCCUGCUUCUUCAUCCUCAGCUGCUGCUGAUGGUAGACCACAUUCAGCUCCAUUCAGGCAGCCUAACACGCAGCAUGAGCAGCUUCUUCCACAACACAGACCUGCCCUUCAAGAACACCCAGGUUGAUGGUGUGCAUGGUGCUCUGAUCAAACACGGAGAUGAAUUGUACAAGAUGUUCUGGCUGGAUGAAACGGGUGGCAGUGAAAGGGCAAUAGCAGGCUAUAGGAGCUACCCCCGUGGAUACCCCUACAAUGGGUCAAACUAUGUGAAUGUGACUAUGCCAUUGAGGUAUCCUACCAGCAGAGUGGCUUACAUCUUCUUUGGGCCAGGAGUUGAUGUGCAGAGUUUCAGUGUACAUGGCGACUCAGAAAGACUAGACAUUUAUCUGGCCACCAGAGAACACACCUACACCAUCUAUCUGUUUACAGGUGGGGUUCCCACUAAACGUUUGUAUGCGAUGGUGUUGAUGAAUCAAAAGAAAGUGGUGUUUGAAAGAGCAUCAGGGAUAGAGGAGCACCCCUUGGAAGAAGUAGAGAAAUAUGUUCAUGUCGUGGAAGACAAUCUUCAGCAUGUCAAACCAGUCUUCCAGCAGUUAGAAAGACACAUCCUGUCACAUGUUCUUAACACAGAUAGCUUUCACAAAACUGCUGAGCGCCUCCUGAAGUCUUCAGACAAGAGGAAGGCACCAGGGACAGUUGAGAAGAUGUUUGCCCUCUCUAAAAAGCAGGGAAAGGGUGGCAAGAAGGCAAGCCUCUCUGACAACCUACCAGACAUCUUUGCCCAGAUUGAGGCGAAUGAGAACAAAGAGAGGCAGCGGACAAUGAAACGCAUCUAUGAGGAGGUUCCAGAGGAGGCAGAUGGUGACUCGAGGGCAUUCAUUGAGUACAGUGAUGUACGAAAGGGUAGAAAAGUGGGAUUUGUGAAGGGGCGGAAAUUCAAAGAAGUGCGCUUAGUGGGUACUACAGGGAGUGACGAUAUGUCCGGCUCCACCUCGUAUAUCCGCCUCUUCCUCAUUUUGAAUAUAACCACUUUCUUCCUCCUGCUGGCAGUGCUGUUGACGCGUUUCCAGAGGGCCCAGAGUUUGCACACACAGCGUUGCCUCUACUGUGUCCUCCUUAUAGAUAGCUUCAUCCUGCUCUGUCUGUACUCCUGCUCACAGACACAGUGUUGACAUCGUCACUGUAGGACAUUCAGCCGGUAUUUCGGCACAGGUGUUGUCAUCAACACUGUGGAAGAUUAGGCUAUUCCUGUUUGCAGGCACGGUGCAUCCUCAGUAUGAGGCAUCAUUAAAGAAAUAGCUAACCCCAAAAAUAUAAUUAUUUACUCACCUUCAUGUUUUCCACACAUUUAUACUGUUAUUUUUUUUCAGUGGAAUACAAAAGAAGAUUUUUUAAAGAAUCUUAACAUAGCUCUAUUCCAUACACUUAUACACUUACAGUUCAUAAUGACCAUGUCGGUCAAGCUCUAAAAAUGACAAUCAUAUCAUAACAGUAGUCCAUACAACUUCCUCUCCACCAUAGCCCUCAAAUCAAAUAUGGCACAUGAAUUAGACAUGAAUGACUUCAAACAUAAUACAGGACAAUAGAUGCCUACUGUUCCUUAUUUUAGCAGUGAAAAUGGUGGAAAGUCCUGCAUUGAAUGCCUUGUGUCCCAUAUAGAAAUGUAAAAAUGUUCAAGCAUCCUGUAUUCACAUGGCAAAAAGUUGGCAACCCAAAAUGUAAUGUAUAAUUCAUGGUGUCAUGAAAUGCCCCCCCUUGGAGCACAGAUGUGGACCCUAUUGUCACUAUAUGGAAAAGAGCUGCUUAACAAUUUUGAAUGACAUGUUACAGACUUUUUUCCUGCUCACAAGCACAGUGCUUACAUCAUCACUGUGUGACAGUUAGAUGGAAUUAUAUGCCUUCUCCACAAUGCAGCGUUGCUGCAGUUUAUCCAAUAUGCCUCAUACUGAGCCAGUGUUAGCAAACAGGUGUCUGAGAAAAGCUGAUUCCAAAUAGGAAUCGCAAGAUAUUUUUAUUUUAAUGCAAAAUUAGCCAACCCACCUCAAAUCAAAAGCUUCUGUGGAGCUUUAUUAUAAAGUUUACAUGAAUGUUGUCUUCUGGGACUCUCCAUGGCUAGCCACUAUUAUCCAUAUACACUGCAAGCUAUGCACAUUUGGUAUCAACAUGGACUUUCAUCACAAAAUAUGUGUAAAAUGUAUAUAUGUUCAAUCAAAGUAGAUUUUUGGGUGUUGUUUUAUACUCUUGCUAAUUUAAAAGGCAACCACAAAAAUGUCCUGUUGCAUUGUUUAGCAUUUAUCUGUCAUGAAAUUGUAUCAGUACAAGACUAAUAAAACAUUUCAGCUGCAGACACCGACAAUUUAGAAUGACAUAUAGUGACAGACACAGAUCUUACCACAAUACGUGUAAUGUGUUUUCCAUGAUCAUGGAAAACCUUGAGGUCUGGGAAAUUAAAAUUGUGAUUUCCAGGCCUGGAAAUGUGCUAAAUCUUUAAAAUUCAUGGAAAAGCCAUAUGGUCAGUUAUGUAAAAUUAUAUCAAAUUUAUAUUCGAUAAUCACAAAUGCAAAAAGUCUUGGAAAUGAAUUGGUCAAAAGGUGUGGGAACCCAGGUGUGCCAUCACUAUGAAUGUUCUUAGAAACAUGAAAGGUCAGUAUGAAAAUGUAUAGGUGCAAUCAGUAAAUUAUUUAAGUAUGGCAAGUAUGGCCAGUUAGUGGCCUGGAUGCUGCAUCAUUCAAAAACAGUAGUUUUCAGUUAUAGAUGCCAUUGUAGAAAUUCACUAUGCAUGGUAAAACAGGAUUCAUUUAAUCCAUGAGUGAAAGUGUUCAAUAACAUGGCAGUUUCUGAGAUUAAGAGUAGUAUUCAGCUGGUAACAUGGCUGCCCCAAUGAGGCGCCCCUGCUCCAUGUAGAAUAAAAUGUUUUUAUACAUAUGUUAUAAAAUUACAAUUCAACUGAAUUACUGAGUGCACAUUUAACAGGUUCAAGGGUAUUCCUGCCAUUUAAAAUAACCUCCGUUAAAACAAUAAAAUCUCUUCAGAAAUAAAUGCCAAAUCAAAUUGUUCUGAAGUAAAAUAUCGAUUUGGACUGUCAUUUGUUUGUCUGACUCUGCAGUGAGUCUUACAUGAGAGUUAGUAAGCUUACAGUUACAGUACAUACAGUUAGUAGAAAUAUUAAAUGAAACAAACUGGUUACAUCCUUGCUAUUUUGUUAUUCACUUCAAUUGAUAUCACACUACACAAUGUAUUUCAACGUAGCAUAAUUGGUGGUUAAAAUAAUAUUUUGUAAGAUGAUGAUUUUCCUUCCCAAAUACAGUAGGCAGUAGUGGUCAUCUCAUUUAAAAAAUAUAAACAAAGCACAUAAUUAAAGGGGUAAGAAAACAGGAACCUUAUAACAAUUUCAAGGAUGUAAACGUUGAGGCCAUAGCAGAUGUUCCAGAGGUAGGCUACAUUUUCAGUUGAUUUGUUCAUUGUAUUUCAAACUGUUUUUAAGUGUUUAAGCUUAAAGAACCAAUUUCAAAUGAUUUUAAUAAAUAAAAAUUAAUUGUGCGAAAAGUUGACCUCUCAGUUGAUAUAUAUUUAAGCAAACUGACAUUUCACAACUAGUACUCAGUUCCUAUUUUCAUAGUGUGUGUGUGUGUGUGUGUGUGUGUGUGUGUGUGUGUGUGUGUGUGUGUGUGUGUGUGUGUGUGUGUGUGUGUGUGUGUGUGUGUCAGUAAUGGAAAUCAUGUGGAAUGGGUUUCCUGUUGUUCUUCUCUGAAUGUCCGAGGUCAAAAUUUGAACAUCACUCCUCUAUUCUAGAAUAUGUUGAUCUCAUUGGAUAAGGUAGUUAAUAUACUGCUUUUUCUGUUCUUGCAAAGAUAUAUAAUGCUGUGCUGAACAAUAAAGUACGAGAAAUCUCCGAUGCAUACUUAAGUGUCUGUGUCAGUCAUUUCUCCCCUUGAGGAUCUGGAUCAAGACAGCGACUGCAGACCUGAUCUGGUAUUUAUGGGCAAAUCCUGAAUAUUUCUAACAGCCUUGGUGUCAGCAAGUGGGAUAUUUUAAAUUUAAAAAUUUUAAAAACUCCUGUCUGUCGAAAUAUUAAGCAUAACAUUUGCUAGAGCCUUAUUUUGAAAGAUAAAUAAGGAGGUUUUACACCUUAAAUUUGCGACUAUAGUCUGGGUAACCCUAUUUUGAAAUAUAAAUAGGAAAGAGAGCUCAAUCUCAAAGUCAAAUUUCUCUGGGUGUCAAAAAUAAAUAAAUAGUAGGUAUUGGUCUGCUGUCCUGUUCUCCAUCCAGAUAGCAUUUUUCUUUACUAACUUGCUUCAUUCCUCUUGACUAACUAUAUACCUGAAUAUUCAAACUGUGGUGACAUUAUGAGACAUGAGAUAAGCCGUCCUUUACCGGAGGAAACGAUGGAUGUUUCGUAAUAAUCAAGGUUAUAAUUCUGAGCUGUAUAUCAGUAAUUUGGCUGGGUGGUCAGAGGGAAAAACACAAUUAGAUCCGUACACAAGAGAUGGCUCAUUUGACAAUUGAUAUAUGAGUGAGGUCAAAUUGAUAGUUAAAAGUGGGUAAGGAGAUCCGCAAUGGGAUUACAAAUAUAUGAAGGAAUCGUAUGACGUAUGGAAGAAGAUGAAACCUUUUUGGGACAAAGGUCUUGAGUGCAACGCCACUGCAGGUCAAUGCGUGGAACCUCCAUAAUAUGACAACGUCGUUAAAACCACAGCCGUACCUGAAUUUACUGAUAUGAGAAUUCCACUGCCUUGGGUGCUCCGUUGUAUCCGGAUCUAACAAAAUCUGAGAAAUAAUAGUGCAUGAGAAAACUGCAUGCUGUUACAUGCCCGCUAAAGUCUAUGUUGCCACACCCUCAGCUCAGCUGGGGUUUGAGGAGGGCACUUCGGCAUCGGUUGCUUUUCAUUUUAUUCAGUGUCCAGAUGGGUAUAAAAUUAUCCCUGACUGUGGCGGAAGCACUGGCCAUUUCUAAGGAAUUGCCAGUACAAUAUGUGAACAUCUUAAAGAAACUUUAAACUGCGUAUAGCUAGUUAACGGGACAUAAAUAUCAUUUCAUUCUGUCAAAAACCCUACCAGCUGACGUAAUUGAAAAGGAUUUGCUCAAUGAAGAUCCCAUGCUGAAAUUAUAAUACACCCACCCAACGGACGUCGAAGGUGCCGCACUUAGAGACGGAAAAGAGACUAAAGCCCCAACUAUGACUUUGGCUCACGUGAGUGAGGAUGCAUGACCGUAUUUACAAAACAUCUACUACAAGUCUUAAAAGACUUAGCAGCCUCAAGGAGAGAUAUUACUCAUGCGGCUUAAAUGAAACAAAUGAAAAGGGAAAGCCCGGUAGCUUUCGUCUCCCGUUUCAAAGCAUCAUGGACUGAUGAAUCAUCCUUGUCAACAGAUGACUAUCAGUCGAUUUUGUUUAUCAAUAUGUUUCUUAAAAGCAUGGAUCCAGAAACCGCCAGAUUGAUUCUGAUCAUGACCUCAAAUCUGACCGCAAUGACCACUGAUCAGUUAGGGAAGCGACUAUGCGAAUUGCCCUCCGCGGGUGCUUUUUUUUCUAAACCAACCCCAGUAAUGGCACCAGUAAAGUUGUACAAGGUAUAAAUUACAGAAAUUGCCAUUAGUGUGGCCAACUUGGACACUUUAAGUGUGAAUGUCGAAAGAAGCAAUAAGAUUUACAACAGUGUAAAAGCUGGCACAGUUGCUGACAGGAUGACCGUGUAAAUCGUAAUGACAACCGAAAUGCUCUGCGUAAUAGACGCUCAGAGUGCUCUGUGCUUGAUAACCCCACAGAGUGGACCCUGCGCUAGGGAUGCCCGCAGAGUACAGAGCCCUCAUGAUAUAUUCUACCUUCUGUUUUGUGUUUUGACAUUUCUACCUUGCUCUUUCUUGAGCUGUAUGUUGAUCGUAAACCCUAUACUUUCUUGGUAGAUACUGGUGCUUCUAAAAGUUCCCUGGUGGGGCAUUGUUAUGAGGGCUUGAUUACGGGACGCACCAUAAACUCUGUGGGAAUUAUCGGCGUCCCUGUAAAAUGUCAAAUGACACCAAAAUAGCCUGUUACCUCCCCAGACAACCCAACUCUGUUCAAAAUGCAUGAUUUUGUCAUUCUACCUGUCUCUCCAUUCUGCUUACUGGGGCUGAUAUACAAAACUGGUGCCAAGAUAGCAUGCAAGUCUUAGUCUAAGGAGUCCAACUCCUUGCAACUUUUAUUUCCUUCAGUGUAUUUUCAGUCUGUGUGUACAGGAGCUUGUGGUGAAGUGCUCAGCUCAACGUCUGUGAGGUCUUCUGAUGUGAAACAGGAACUACUCAAUGUCAAUCCAGCAUUGUGGGCUGCCCACAAAGAUGAGGCUGGCCUAAUUGAUGUUAGGCAAUUUGUGGCUAAACUUCGGUCAUACCAGUAACAUACCAGUGUACUGCAAACAGUACCCACUCUCAAAAGGAAAGGAAGAAGGUAUUGGUCCAAUAAUACAACGGUUGCCGUCACAAUAUUGGAACCAACCCAUUGACGACAUAACACACAGAUCAAUCCUUUCAAAAAGGCUAAUGUGUGCCAUCCUUGCCUGUCACGCAGCCCCUGUUUACGUUCAAGUACGGAGGCAACAAUACACGUGGACAAGAAUGCCCCAGGGAUUUAAAGACUCACCUGCUGUGUUCUCUGCUGUAGUGGAUGCUACUUUGAAAGACACCAAGCUGCCACCACAGACAUUUCUGCUGCAAAACGCUGAUGUGGACGCUGAAUCAUGCACUGCUGCCUCAACGAUUGUUUGCAAUAUACUAGUGCAGGCUGGUUUCAAGGCAUCAAAAGACAAGCUGCAAUGGGUGAAAUCGAGAUUUGACUAUCUGUGUCAUGAGCUGAAGAAAGGAAGCGUUUGUCUCUCCCACAGAUAGAGCACAGAUAACCAACAAUAACCACCUUUCAGCAUCCGACAACAAAGACCCAAAUGCAGAGUUUUCUGGGCUUAGUUAAUUAUUGUUGAGCCUGGGUCCCGAACUGCUCAUUGAAUGUCAAAAUAUUGAGAGAGGCCACACUCUCAGGGGCCGAAGAGCCCAUAAAUUGGACAUGGAUUUCAAGCACUUGCGUAACAGUCUAAGUUUCCCACCAGCUGUAGGUCUGCCAAACUAUGGUGAACCUUUCCAUCUGUACGUGCAUGAGGCUGGAGACACAACAGCAGCGAUCCUUGCCCAGUCCCAUGGUGGAACAUAUAGACUGGUGGCGUACUUGUCGAUGACAUUAGAUGCAGUCACCAAAGGCCUCCCUGCGUGUCUGUGGGCUGUUGCUGCUGCGGCAUUGAUGGUACAAGAUGCAGGAUGCAUGGUUCUUUCACACCCUAUGACUGCAUAUCUCGCAUCAGUCACCUGGUGUGGUGGAGAGAACUAUCCAGAGAACUUCUGCACAAGGCCUGUACUGAAACCGGAUGAACAUGGGUUGAUGUAUUGCCUACUGUGUUGACUGAGCUCAGAAUGUCACCAUCUUCUGUCGUUAAGCUCUCUCCAUUUGAAAUACUAAUGGGUAGGCCUUUCCCGACCCCAUGGGUCAAAGGCCGUGCUGGCUCUCUCUCCACUGGUAACACAGAGGUGGUGAUUGCAGUAUAUGUGGAUUCCCUCAUUAAGACAUUAAUUGGCAUAAAUGGUCUCUCUCUCACUCUGCCUGCAGAAUGCCCUUCUUACCAUUUGUUCCAGGUCAACAGGUCCUGAUCAGGUGUCUAAAACCUACUAAGUUUUGGGAGCCAAAGUAUCUGGGCCCAGCUGCUGUCCUGGAAUUGACCAGAACUGGAGUGCUAACGGAUCUGCAACCACAGUGGAUACACGUAAGCCGGGUGAAACCUGCACCUGAGGAGAGUCCGUCUAUUUCGAAAGUGAGCGGUGAAAGAACUGGAGGAGCUGAACAUGCAGUGCCAGUGCCUAACCGAGAACUUGAGAAUUAUGAGGACCAGAGGAGGGAAGAAAAACUUGGAUGCACAGAGUAAUAGUGCUUAUCUUUCUUCUGCAAGCAGCUGCUUCCGCUAAUGCUUUGCCAUGGAUGUCAGAUUCCAGCUCGGUUGUUCAACCACUUGUGAAGGCCGUCAUUCCACUCCCUAAGAAUAACCUGUGGUGGUUGCUGAUUAACUAUACAGCGGAUGGGUAAUGAUGCAUUUCUUGAUUUAGGUCCCCCGCAGCAAUCCCAUACGUAAUCCCUCUGCCAAUCAAUACCACCACUUGUAGAAAGCAUGAAAUAAAAUGUAUGAAUCUUAGGCCAGAUUGUCAAUGUUGUACUUAUAUCAAUACUUCAAGUGGACAAUCGAUGAAGCGUUGGCAAGACAAACCACAGAUGAACAAUGGACCACUACGCCCUUGGAAAUGUCUUCUCUAUCAGUCCAGUAUCUCAUAUGAUGAUAAUUUCACUUUGAGCAAGUGGAACUGCACGAACUGGCUGGUUCCUGGUAAAGCUCUACCGGAGGAAGUUUCUUGCCGAAAAUGUAAUAAAACAGAAAAUUAUUACUUUACAAACUACAGUAACAACCUAGUGAAUGUAACCGAAUUCCACAAUAAAUUCUGUUCUAAGGUGACCUAUACAUAUUUGUAUAAAGGGACCGGGGUUUUCUGCAUUUGGUGUUCCGCAAUAUGAGGGGUUAGAAUAUCUGGUGGAUCUGUUCUGAUAGCCCAUCAUGGUUAUUUAACAGUCUAUUUUUUAUGGUCUUGUUAGAACAUUUUAUUAUAAGACCCCAGUGCACAGUUCGGAAGCGAAGAUACUUGGAUGAUGAUGAUGCAGCUAUUGAUCCUGAAGUUUAUCUAGAUAACAUUGGAUAGCCAAGAGGUAUUCCUGACAAAUUCAAUGCUAGACAUGAGUUUGCCUCUGGGUUUGAGUCUGUUUUUAUAUGGGUAACCCCAAAUAGGAAUUUAGAGUGGAUUAAUUAUCUAUAUUACAAUCGACAGCGUUAUUUCAAUAAGACAAACAAAGCCUUCGAAUUGGUCAGGGGAUGAUUGCAAUUGUGAGAUAACUAAACAGAAUAGAAUAGCACUAGAUUAUCUCUUGGCUAAGGAAGGAGGGGUGUGUAAAAUGUUUGGUGACAAAUGCUUUACUUAUAUUCCUGGGCAUGCUGCUGAUGAUGGGGAGUUUACCACGGUCCUGAAGGAAAUGGAUAAGUUGAAUAAAGACUUUACCACAAUCGCCGGCUUCAAAGGCAUAUGGGGAAAUAUUUUUUAAAUGUUUGGUUGGUUUGUCUUGGAUGUCUACUAUUAUUCCAAUAAUUGUAUGCAUUUUUAUAUUGUUAUUAUUUGGCCCAUGUUUGUUACAAUGUAUUUAUUCAAAGGGUCACUGCUUUGUUAAACAGACAUAAUAUUGCUAUGCUUCAUACAACUGAGAUUCUGAGUGAUCCUUUCAGGAUCAAAGUGGGCAUUGUGAGAAAAGUUGACCUCUAAACGAAACUCUUAAUUACUCUCUCCAUCACCCCUCCUCGUGAGUCUCCCAAAAAUGCUAAAUAAUUGCACCCAAAAUGUCCUAACUCCCAUCCUACUGCUCGACCCCCCCUCGAAGGCAUACACCCUCAUCAACUCCGGACACCACUCCUGGAACGAGGGAGCUCCAUCUGACUUCUAUCCCCUUAAAAUAACCUGCCUACCAAUCAUCACACUGGUCAAAACCCAAUUUUUUAUGUACUUAUCCUGUCCCAAACUACAGAGUCUGGGGCAGAACAAUAUUUGAGUCUCCAACCCCUCAUAUACAAAACAUUGCACCUUCAACCUAAAUUCUUGGAUCUUACGACACCCCCAAAAAAUAUGGGUGGUGUCUCCAUCUUCUGAAUGGCAUCGCCAGCAGGUGGGUGUUCCCUUAAGACCAAGCUUGAUGCAGACUUGUUGUUCUUUAGAAUCCUAGCCCACACUCCCUCCUCCAAUAACACAUUUAAAUCUUCCUCAAAUAAUCUUUUGAGAGAAUUUAAAGCUCCGUCCCCCAGACUCUGAAUUAGCAGGGAGUAAUACACUGAUGCCUCAUGACCUUUCCCAAAAGCAGCAAUCACCACUCCCAGAGUAUCUGCCACACUAGGGGGGGUGCGUGCCACUCCAAAAACAGAGUAAAGUAGGUAGCGCAGCUGUAAAUACUUAUAAAAUUGAGAUCUGGGAAUCCUAAAAUGAUGAACCAACUUUUCAAAAGAUCUCAAUACUCCACUCUCAUAUAGGUCACAGAGUGUAUUAACCCCCCAUCACAAUCCAAUCUGAGCAACAGAAAGGGGACUUAUUAAUACAUAGUUUAGGGUUCACUAAACUAUAUGCACUAAACUAUAUGUUCAGCCAUAUGCUCAAGGCUACGUUUAAAUAAAUAUCCAAGUUAAACACUUUUUGUUCAUAUCAAGUGUGAAUGCAAGAUAACGAGGUGUGACUUAACUUCUCCGAUUAGUUUGAUCGAAAGGCUUUGCAGUGGCAAGAUAGGGUCAAGAAAUUCCUUUUCAAUACAAAACCAGGGAGGGGCUCUCUCAGGUGGAAGCGACAAAUGAGCCAAAUGUCUGAGACCGAAUGCAUAGUAAUAAAACAAAUUCUUGGGUAGGCCUAACCCACCUUUGUCAAUCAGCCAAUGUAACAUAUUAAAAUUUAACAUGGGAUGCUUAACAUUCCAAAAUAAGGACUUCGCUAUGCUAUCAAAUUGCUUAAAAUAAGAGAGGGGUACAUCUAUAGAGAGAGAUUGUAACAGGUAUUGGAAUUUUGGAAUACAAUUAAUUUUAAUUACAUUAAACUUCCCAAUCAUAGAUAAAUGUAAUGAAGCCCACCUGUCCACAUCGAUCAAAAUUAACAAAUUUGCUGGUGUUACAUUCCAUGUAAUAAGUGUGACUUUUGUUUUGGAGUGUUGUGUUUUUCUUCUCUCUCACUCUGUCUCUUGCUCUUUACUUUCGUUUUCAGCAGGUUGACGUAUUUAAUUGGUUCGUUCAUCUGUCAAUCUUGGAGACGCAUGUUGACGACAUUGCGCGUCUCCACCAAUGAGGGCGAGCUAUGCGAGUAUAAAAAAGGGCCUGCGUGGGAAGCGGGAUCUCUUUUCUUUAUUUGAUUCAUACAUGUGCACCUGUUGUAGUGGUUUGCCCUGUAUCAUCCAUGUCCCCAGGUAAUGUUUAUGUCCCCAGGUAAAGUCUGUGUUCUGUAACCCGGUCACACACACACAAGAUGAGACAGUCACAAUGUGGAUGAAACUGCUUUUAAUGUUUAUUAAAAGCAGUGCAGGCAAAAGUACAAAACAAGGGAAAUCCAGUGAGAGUAGUCGAGGGGGAGCGUAAGGUCGGAAGCCGGGGAAACAACGAUAUAAACAAGGGGGCAGAUCUAAUGAGGGAGGUGAACGAUAAGCGGGGAAAACAGUUAACAACUAGGGCGAAGGACAAGACGAGACUAGCGGGAACAAAGACAGGGGAACGAGAGAGUUGGCAAGCUAAGAGGAUAAUCAAGAGGAGGGAGGUCGAAACUAGACGAAACUAGCAGGGGCAAAACUAGACGAGACUAGCGGGGGCAUAAACACGGGAAUCUAAAUACAUACAAUACAUACAAUAACCAACGGGAAACAAACGGAAGGAUAGUGUAUUUAUAGGGGCGAGUGCAGGUGUAAACAAUGACAGGUGACGAGACGAGUGCAGGUGUAACUAAUGUGUGGGGAUAGGAAGCGCGUGAGUGUAAGUGGUCAUAAUGUUCUGGCAGAUGAGCGGGAAGAGAGCACGCUCGCGGAGUGCAUGUGUGUCAGAGGGGGGAGAGAGUUUACGAGCGAGAGCUCGUAAUAGCAAACCGGGCGUGAAAGCCUGAGGGAGGAAAAAGAGCGUACGAGCUCAAGGGGGCGGAGCGAGGGAGCGGGAAGCGAGCACGCUCGGAGUGUAUGGGUGCGUGCUCGAGGAAGCGGA
RNA transcript from Xyrauchen texanus (razorback sucker), 14023 nucleotides. It is a transcript of the gene named dermatan-sulfate epimerase-like, with no coding region annotated. The transcript has 11 exons. The record is from RefSeq and is a predicted model, not a curated record. Lineage: Eukaryota; Metazoa; Chordata; Actinopteri; Cypriniformes; Catostomidae.